Cucurbita maxima (winter squash) is the source of this 95-nucleotide long non-coding RNA. RefSeq lists it as uncharacterized. The transcript has 3 exons. The record is from RefSeq and is a predicted model, not a curated record. NCBI's taxonomy places the organism in Eukaryota, Viridiplantae, Streptophyta, Magnoliopsida, Cucurbitales, Cucurbitaceae.
CCGACCUUAGAACGGAAUUGUGGAAUCUAGUGAGUGACUAAACUUGGGAGGGAUUUAGUAUAUAUGAAGAGAGAGUUUGUUAGAGGUUUUUUUCA